This 274-nucleotide ribosomal RNA is filed under the name uncultured bacterium. RNAcentral's name for it is "partial 16S ribosomal RNA". It matches the Rfam family "Bacterial small subunit ribosomal RNA", at positions 523 to 796 of the family's 1533-position model. The record is from RNAcentral.
AUACGGAGGGUGCGAGCGUUACUCGGAGUCACUGGGCGUAAAGCGUCCGUAGGCGGUCGGGUAAGUCGGGUGUGAAAGCCCCGGGCUCAACCUGGGAAGUGCACCCGAUACUGCUCGACUCGAGUGCGGGAGAGGAUGGCGGAAUUCCCGGUGUAGCGGUGAAAUGCGUAGAGAUCGGGAGGAACACCAGUGGCGAAGGCGGCCAUCUGGCCCGCACCUGACGCUGAGGGACGAAAGCGUGGGGAGCAAACAGGAUUAGAAACCCUAGUAGUCC